RNA transcript from Gordionus sp. m RMFG-2023, 2245 nucleotides. RefSeq lists it as uncharacterized. The transcript has 18 exons. The record is from RefSeq and is a predicted model, not a curated record. Lineage: Eukaryota; Metazoa; Nematomorpha; Gordioida; Chordodea; Parachordodidae.
UUGGUUUUUAAAAAAUUUUAUUUAUGGAUGCAAAUAUUGAUGCAGAUUAUGAAAGAUUUAAUAAAAAGGUGAUAAAGUUUCAAACAGCAAAAUCAAAUUAUUUAAAUUCAUUUAAUACAUAUGCUUGUUCUGAAAAUAUACGCAUGCCAUUAGCCAAAAAUAUAUUUCCAAUAUUACCUACUUUGCCUACAUUCUACCCACAAUUAUCACUUGAAUCUAUAAUAGAUCAAUUUUCAAAAUGUUUAAAACCAAAAUUAGAUUAUUUUAUAUGUAAAAUUACUGAAAUCUCAUUUAAAGGAGUUAAUUGUCAGAUAUUUUUUCAAAUCGGUCCUUAUGUUUUUUCAGAUGUUUCUAUGUUUUCUAUUAAAGCUAUAUGUCCCAUUGACUUUAUCCCAAAAGAUGAUUUGAAAAAAAUUCAGAAAUUACCAACUGAUGGUUCAAAUUUAGUAAAAGUCAUUCUUAAAGAGAUUAUUUAUAUCCCAGUUAAUGAAAAUGACAAAAAUGUGGAAGAGUCAACUAAAUAUCAGCCAAUUUUUAUUAUGUCUAUGUUGUUGAAUGAUGUUCACUCUGAUCCCACUCAAAUUUUAUACUAUAGCAAAAAGAUUAAAGAUGAAAGCAACAUUGGUUAUCAUUUUCUAGGCCCAAUGACCAAUUCUGAAAUCAACUUUUACUACAACUUAUUCGAGACCAACGAACAUGAGAUAAAUCUAAAAUCAAAGCGCUUUCAUUUCGACAGGCAAAUCGUUGAAAGGGGUGACCAAAAUAGCGCGACAGAAUCGUCGGAAUCAAAAGAUCAGGAGAAUUCACCGUCGAAAGGACAAAAUGUUGUCGAAGAUACGGGCGAUUCGCGGAUGGAAGGGGAUGCAAAAUCUUACAAGGAACUUUUGGAGAAUCACCCGUCGUUUUCCAAUUUGAAUUGUCUGAGGAAUAUGAUCCAAUUAGUAACCAAUCAGCUCGGUGCCAGGCACUUCAACGUUUACAAUAAUCAUCUAACCUUCUUCGAUUCCUUUAAUAAGAUAUCCAUACCGGAAGAUUGUCAAAAUUUUAGCGCCAUUUUGAAGCAAAGACAAGCAAAGUCUUGGGCAUUAGAAAUCCUUAAAAAGGGUAUCGAAUGCUUCAAUCAAUCUAGCAAUCUAGAAGCUAAUCAAUGCUACAACAAGGCGCUCUCCAUAGACCCCUCAAACGUAGACGCGCUAGUGGCCAAAGGAGCACUAUACGCCAGUGUGCCUAAUCCAUGUCUGGAUAAGGCCAUCUCCUUUUUCGAUCAAGCGCUCCAUAACGAACCGAAUCAUAAAAACGCGAAACAAUACUUGGUACAAACAUUGCUGACGCGCGGAAAAAUGUUGGAAAAAGAGUACGUGGACAAUGACGUCAUCCCAUCGCCGUCCAAUAAAAAGUGCCGAUACAAAGACGCUCCGAAACGGGUCCACCAAGAUUCGGUCGACGAUGAAACCGAUGAGGUUGACCCAUUCCGUUUUUUGGAUUAUUACGAGAAGGCUUUUUGUCAUUUAAACGCGGAAAGCGUUGGCGAAUCGGAACAAGGAAGCCUGGAAUGGCUCCGACUAAAGCUCAAAUCCUAUAGCCAUCUCCGUGCCCGUGCUACGAAGAGGAAUGAGGGCCCCGAAGGAAAUGAGAAGGGUAAACUUAAUCGAAGUCAAUCAUCCGCAUCUUCCGACACUUCGAGUCAAUCUUCCUCGUCGGACAGUUCACAUUCUAGCAGCGAUGGUUCAACCAGUAAUUCGAAUAACGUUUCAUAUGCCGUCGAGAAAAAUAAAAUAACUGAGAGACAUUUAGACAAUGGGCCACGGGCAAGCGAGCGAAAAAUUAAAUUAGACAGCUAUUCGGAUAUAUCCUCCAGCUCAAGCUUUGACGAACCUUCUACAAUACCAGAACGCGGGUCUAAAUCUAAAGAGGAUGAUGGUAAAAAGUUGACAGAAACGGAUCCGUCUAAAAAGAAAGGAAAAUAUAUACUAAAAAUUUCCUUCUCCAUCUGACGAUAGCGACCCGUUUAAACUUACGCCAGACGAUUCUGAGAAACAAUUAAUCUCGACCGAUAAGACUUCCCUACCCACGGACAUCGCCAUUAGUCGAGCGAAUAAAAUUAAGGAUGAUAUCAAAAACAAGAUUACCUUGCAAGACAUGGAAAAAUUUCUAUUACAUCUCAAGCAAAACGCCAAGAAAAAAUUAUGAUUAUAUUUUGAAAUAAAUAUAAUUAUUUCAAAAUAAAACGGGCAUAAUCUCGUGA